UGCCCCAUGGUGGUCAGGCAGUACUGGG
Molecule: non-coding RNA, 28 nt
Filed under: Homo sapiens (human)
Lineage: Eukaryota; Metazoa; Chordata; Mammalia; Primates; Hominidae
Source: RNAcentral